Molecule: RNA transcript, 2928 nt
Organism: Canis lupus familiaris (dog)
Lineage: Eukaryota; Metazoa; Chordata; Mammalia; Carnivora; Canidae
Gene: DEK
Gene name: DEK proto-oncogene
Exons: 12
Source: RefSeq, a predicted model, not a curated record
CGCGGCGCGGGCGUCAGCAGACAGCGGCCCGCGCGCCUCCUCCUCGGCGCUCGCCGCCGCCGCCGCCUCCCGGAGCGUCUCCUGCCUUCGCGCGCCAGGCCCGCGGCGGCCGGCACCGGCGGUCGGAGCAUGUCCUCGUCGGGCCCAGCCGCGGACGGAGACGGCGCCCCCGCCGCGCCCGCGGCCGACAAAGAACCCGAGAUGCCCGGCCCGAGAGACGAAAGUGAAGAGGAGGACGAGGACGACGACGAGGAGGAGGAGGAGGAGGAGGAGGAAAAAGAAAAGAGUCUCAUCGUGGAAGGCAAGAGGGAAAAGAAAAAAGUAGAGAGAUUGACCAUGCAAGUCUCUUCCUUACAGAGAGAGCCAUUUACAAUUGCACAAGGAAAGGGGCAGAAACUUUGUGAAAUUGAGAGGAUACAUUUCUUCCUGAGUAAAAAGAAAACAGAUGAACUUAGAAAUCUACAUAAACUGCUUUACAACAGACCAGGCACAGUGUCCUCAUUAAAGAAGAAUGUGGGUCAGUUCAGUGGCUUUCCAUUUGAAAAAGGAAGUGCCCAGUAUAAAAAGAAGGAAGAAAUGUUGAAAAAAUUUAGAAAUGCCAUGUUAAAGAGCAUCUGUGAGGUUCUUGAUUUGGAGAGAUCGGGUGUAAAUAGUGAACUGGUGAAGAGGAUCUUGAAUUUCUUAAUGCAUCCAAAGCCUUCUGGCAAACCAUUGCCAAAAUCUAAAAAAAGUUCUAGCAAAGGCAACAAAAAGGAACGGAACAGUUCUGGAAUGGCAAGGAAAGCUAAGCGAACCAAAUGUCCUGAAAUCCUGUCAGAUGAAUCUAGCAGUGAUGAAGAUGAAAAGAAAAACAAGGAAGAGUCUUCAGAUGAUGAAGAUAAAGAAAGUGAAGAGGAGCCCCCAAAAAAGACUUCUAAAAGAGAAAAACCUAAGCAGAAAGCCACUUCUAAGAGUAAGAAAACUGUCAAGAGUGCUAAUGUUAAGAAGGCAGAUAGCAGCACCACCAAGAAAAAUCAGAACAGUUCCAAAAAAGAAAGUGAAUCCGAGGAUAGUUCAGAUGAUGAACCUUUAAUUAAAAAAUUAAAGAAACCUCCUACAGAUGAAGAGUUAAAGGAAACCGUGAAGAAACUAUUGGCUAGUGCCAACUUGGAGGAAGUCACAAUGAAGCAGAUUUGCAAGGAGGUCUCUGUGCUAAAGACAGAGUCACAUCUGCACAAAGUGAUUACAGUAAUGUUCAGCAUGUCUGUAAUGUUGAAAAAUCACAAGCUAACUGGCCAUCAAUAGGGAAAUGUUUAAACUGGUACAUCUAUUUUUGGAAUGCUAUGUAGCAGUUCAAAAGAACAUGGAAAAACCUUCCAGGUAUAUGAAAAUUAUCCUGCUUAUGAUUUAACUGAAAGAAAAGAUUUCAUAAAAACAACCGUGAAAGAGCUGAUUUCUUGAGGCAGUGGAGACAGAGGACUUGUCCCAUGGACGUAAAGAUCUGAUUUAUACCAUUAUACCAGCAAAGAGAAUGUAUUUCCUUUUCUAAAUCCCUGCAAGCAUUGUGUUGGUACAACUUACUGCUGAUCUUUUUAUCUUGAGUGUUAUGUAAUUUGAGUUUGUUGUUUUAAAUUGCAUUUCUAUGCAGUUUUAGUUUAAAAUUUUGCAUGGCAGUCACUGUUCCUUGCUUUUAUAGUUGUAUUUUGUACAUUUUGGAUUUCUUUAUAUGAGAUCGUAGAUUCUCGAACUGUUGUAGUUUUUAGCGCGCUUAGUAUUCGCUUCAGACAUACUUUUAAUCAAGUAGAAUAAACUAUUACUGACAUUUAUACAUGCAGAGACUAUGGCAGUAUUUAGUAUAUGAAAUAUUUUGAAUACACAUCUGUCAGUGGCGGUGUGUUCAUCAUAUUAAAAAUAUACAGGCUUCAGCUAUCCAGAUGAUUAAAUUGGAAAUUUUCUGCUGCAUGUGUAUAUAUGUCAAAUUGUCAGCAUGACAAAAGUGACAGAUGUUAUUUUUGUAUUUUUAAAAACAAAUUUGUUGUAUAUAAAGUUUUUUUAUUUCUUUUGUGCAGAUCAAUUUUUAAACUCCUCUAGGUAGGUAUCUUUACAGUUAAACUUUGAAAUGUCAGUGUUCGGCCAGAUGGUAUGACGGAGCAGUGAAAGUCAGAAUUCAGUGGAGAAAACACUGAAGGAACAGAUCGUUCUCUGCUUUGCCUCAGAAGUGUCAUCAAUUUGUAGUUUUAGUGUUAACUCUGCAAGUGUCUGUAGAUACAUUUUAUAUUAAGGAUCAACCAAAUCAAUACAUCAGAACUUCAAAAUUUGGGGACAGGGUGGAAUCAAUUAAGUACAAGCACAUUUGGCAUAUAAUAAAUGAACUGAUUUUUAACUGCUUUUGCCCAUCCAUAUAAAAUGCUGAUAUUUACCGGAAAGGGGGCCACCUCUAUGAUUAUGAUAAAUGUACUGAGUAUAACGCUAGAAGACAAUGUGUAGGCAAUAGUGGGUAUCUCCAACAAAGUAUUUCUCAGAAGUGGUAAAAAGACUUAUUUUUAACAUUAAAGAAAUUUAAUGUAUUUGUGGAAUCAGGGCUUUUGGGUUUAAAUUUUGGCCAAUCAGGAUUCUAGGUGAUCCAACAUGCAGACCACUCCUGAAUGAGACUGUUUAAUCUUUUAAAUUGUCUUAAUCAGUUUAUUAAAUCUCAAUUUUAAAAUAAAACCUGCUACUUAACAAUUAGGCCUUUGAUAAAUCAGUUGAGUGAUUAAAUAAAAAAUCCAUCAGUAGAACCAGAAAGAUAAAAAUAUGUGUUGACUGUUAGGUAUUUUAACAGGUUUGACUUGUUUCUUGAUAAAUACAAAUGAAUGGCGUAAACAACUAAAUGAAACCUAAGAAUUGGCCUUUGAUUUUAAAUAUUUAAUUUGUUCCUAUAAACCUUGUCAAUAAAAAUAAUAAAUCCAU